CCUACGGGAGGCUGCAGUAGGGAAUCUUCCACAAUGGGCGAAAGCCUGAUGGCGCAACGCCGCGUGGGUGAAGAAGGUCUUCGGAUCGUAAAACCCUGUUGUUAGAGAAGAAAGUGCGUGAGAGUAACUGUUCACGUUUCGACGGUAUCUAACCAGAAAGCCACGGCUAACUACGUGCCAGCAGCCGCGGUAAUACGUAGGUGGCAAGCGUUAUCCGGAUUUAUUGGGCGUAAAGGGAACGCAGGCGGUCUUUUAAGUCUGAUGUGAAAGCCUUCGGCUUAACCGGAGUAGUGCAUUGGAAACUGGGAGACGUGAGUGCAGAAGAGGAGAGUGGAACUCCAUGUGUAGCGGUGAAAUGCGUAGAUAUAUGGAAGAACACCAGUGGCGAAAGCGGCUCUCUGGUCUGUAACUGACGCUGAGGUUCGAAAGCGUGGGUAGCAAACAGGAUUAGAUACCCUUGUAGUC
This 465-nucleotide ribosomal RNA is filed under the name uncultured bacterium. RNAcentral's name for it is "partial 16S ribosomal RNA". It matches the Rfam family "Bacterial small subunit ribosomal RNA", at positions 338 to 795 of the family's 1533-position model. The record is from RNAcentral.